Long non-coding RNA from Armigeres subalbatus, 905 nucleotides. RefSeq lists it as uncharacterized. The transcript has 3 exons. The record is from RefSeq and is a predicted model, not a curated record. Lineage: Eukaryota; Metazoa; Arthropoda; Insecta; Diptera; Culicidae.
AGGGGUUCGGGAGCAUAGGUGAAUCAUUAUAUGUUGUCAGUUAUAGUUUGGUCGUUAAAGAAAUAUAUCGAUGAAGUGCUCUGGCAAAUAAAGUUUAAAUUAGUAGUUGCAAUUGGAACAAAAUUUGUAGUUUUUCGGGCAAAUAAAUUUGAAAUUGGUUCGGUGAAACGUGCGUUAAAGUGAGAUCCGGAAAAGAAUAUACCACAACGUAGGGCCUGAUUUAUCACUCGACGGUACAUAUGGUGCCGUGACCAGGAUCGCUUCUGGAAGCCGCCAUUGCGAUCGCUAUUGUCUCCUACCCUUUGGAGAUUCAACCACAUGUUUCGCCAGCCAUCUUUACGGACUAGCAUAUUUAAUUAUACGAGGCCUGAUACCUUCUGGCCGAAGAAGCCGUCGAAUUCAUCGGACGACCGUUCCAUGGUGUGCCAUCUCUGAAGACUGGCAUACUCAUUAGCCACGCUAUUCAUCCACGCUCGAGUUCUGCUAUACCUCGGUUCUAUAGUUCCAGCUUUUCCAAUUGUACAAGGCACGAAUUGCCUUGGACCAGACUCCCUGAUUAAUCGCGUCGGCUGCUAAUACCGGUGGGACACGAUGGAGAACGCACUCCAGAAGCAGCUGUUGCUGUCGAGAAGGGAAACCAUGAUUGCUGCUUUGGGUCGGGCAGAGGCAUUUCUGGAAGCGUACGAUGAACAACGAGACCAGUCUCAAGUACGAUUGCGGUUGGAGUAUUUUGACUCGAUGUGGAAGUCACUGGAACAGGUGCAGGGUCAACUCGAAGACUCUGAAACUGAAAGCGAAGGAGCUCCAGCGAGAUUCAAAACAACGCAGCCGAAACGACGAAAUUACUCCGGGACGUAUGGUCAUCGUGGUGGACGAACUGCAAGGCCCUCUUCGUUGGCCCCUCG